GGAGCUUGCUCCACCGGAAAAAGAAGAGUGGCGAACGGGUGAGUAACACGUGGGUAACCUGCCCAUCAGAAGGGGAUAACACUUGGAAACAGGUGCUAAUACCGUAUAACAAUCGAAACCGCAUGGUUUUGAUUUGAAAGGCGCUUUCGGGUGUCGCUGAUGGAUGGACCCGCGGUGCAUUAGCUAGUUGGUGAGGUAACGGCUCACCAAGGCUACGAUGCAUAGCCGACCUGAGAGGGUGAUCGGCCACAUUGGGACUGAGACACGGCCCAAACUCCUACGGGAGGCAGCAGUAGGGAAUCUUCGGCAAUGGACGAAAGUCUGACCGAGCAACGCCGCGUGAGUGAAGAAGGUUUUCGGAUCGUAAAACUCUGUUGUUAGAGAAGAACAAGGAUGAGAGUAACUGUUCAUCCCUUGACGGUAUCUAACCAGAAAGCCACGGCUAACUACGUGCCCAGCAGCCGCGGUAAUACGUAGGUGGCAAGCGUUGUCCGGAUUUAUUGGGCGUAAAGCGAGCGCAGGCGGUUUCUUAAGUCUGAUGUGAAAGCCCCCGGCUCAACCGGGGAGGGUCAUUGGAAACUGGGAGACUUGAGUGCAGAAGAGGAGAGUGGAAUUCCAUGUGUAGCGGUGAAAUGCGUAGAUAUAUGGAGGAACACCAGUGGCGAAGGCGGCUCUCUGGUCUGUAACUGACGCUGAGGCUCGAAAGCGUGGGGAGCAAACAGGAUUAGAUACCCUGGUAGUCCACGCCGUAAACGAUGAGUGCUAAGUGUUGGAGGGUUUCCGCCCUUCAGUGCUGCAGCUAACGCAUUAAGCACUCCGCCUGGGGAGUACGACCGCAAGGUUGAAACUCAAAGGAAUUGACGGGGGCCCGCACAAGCGGUGGAGCAUGUGGUUUAAUUCGAAGCAACGCGAAGAACCUUACCAGGUCUUGACAUCCUUUGACCACUCUAGAGAUAGAGCUUCCCCUUCGGGGGCAAAGUGACAGGUGGUGCAUGGUUGUCGUCAGCUCGUGUCGUGAGAUGUUGGGUUAAGUCCCGCAACGAGCGCAACCCUUAUUGUUAGUUGCCAUCAUUCAGUUGGGCACUCUAGCAAGACUGCCGGUGACAAACCGGAGGAAGGUGGGGAUGACGUCAAAUCAUCAUGCCCCUUAUGACCUGGGCUACACACGUGCUACAAUGGGAAGUACAACGAGUCGCGAAGUCGCGAGGCUAAGCUAAUCUCUUAAAGCUUCUCUCAGUUCGGAUUGUAGGCUGCAACUCGCCUACAUGAAGCCGGAAUCGCUAGUAAUCGCGGAUCAGCACGCCGCGGUGAAUACGUUCCCGGGCCUUGUACACACCGCCCGUCACACCACGAGAGUUUGUAACACCCGAAGUCGGUGAGGU
RNAcentral lists this ribosomal RNA (1382 nucleotides) under Enterococcus durans. RNAcentral describes it as "bacterial SSU rRNA". It matches the Rfam family "Bacterial small subunit ribosomal RNA", at positions 75 to 1436 of the family's 1533-position model. Lineage: Bacteria; Bacillati; Bacillota; Bacilli; Lactobacillales; Enterococcaceae. The record is from RNAcentral.